Molecule: ribosomal RNA, 586 nt
Filed under: Shigella sonnei
Lineage: Bacteria; Pseudomonadati; Pseudomonadota; Gammaproteobacteria; Enterobacterales; Enterobacteriaceae
Description: partial 23S ribosomal RNA
Rfam family: Bacterial large subunit ribosomal RNA
Source: RNAcentral
CUCGCUGUGAAGAUGCAGUGUACCCGCGGCAAGACGGAAAGACCCCGUGAACCUUUACUAUAGCUUGACACUGAACAUUGAGCCUUGAUGUGUAGGAUAGGUGGGAGGCUUUGAAGUGUGGACGCCAGUCUGCAUGGAGCCGGCCUUGAAAUACCACCCUUUAAUGUUUGAUGUUCUAACGUGGACCCGUGAUCCGGGUUGCGGACAGUGUCUGGUGGGUAGUUUGACUGGGGCGGUCUCCUCCUAAAGAGUAACGGAGGAGCACGAAGGUUGGCUAAUCCUGGUCGGACAUCAGGAGGUUAGUGCAAUGGCAUAAGCCAGCUUGACUGCGAGCGUGACGGCGCGAGCAGGUGCGAAAGCAGGUCAUAGUGAUCCGGUGGUUCUGAAUGGAAGGGCCAUCGCUCAACGGAUAAAAGGUACUCCGGGGAUAACAGGCUGAUACCGCCCAAGAGUUCAUAUCGACGGCGGUGUUUGGCACCUCGAUGUCGGCUCAUCACAUCCUGGGGCUGAAGUAGGUCCCAAGGGUAUGGCUGUUCGCCAUUUAAAGUGGUACGCGAGCUGGGUUUAGAACGUCGUGAGACAGUUC